GAUGAACGCUGACAGAAUGCUUAACACAUGCAAGUCUACCAAGAAUCACUUCGGUGAGGAAUGGUGGCGGACGGGUGAGUAACGCGUAAAUAAUCUGCCCUUUAGACUGGGAUAUCCUUUGGAAACGAAGGUUAAUACCGGAUAUUAUGAGAUGGACGCAUGUUCAACUUAUGAAAGCUAAAUGCACAAGAGGAGGAGUUUGCGUCCCAUUAGCUAGUUGGUGAGGUAAAGGCUCACCAAGGUCAGGAUGGGUAACCGGCCUGAGAGGGUGAACGGCCACAAGGGAACUUAGACACGGUCCUUACUCCUACGGGAGGCAGCAGUGGGGAAUAUUGGACAAUGGACCAAAAGUCUGAUCCAGCAAUUCUGUGUGCACGAUGAAGGUCUUCGGAUUGUAAAGUGCUUUCAGUAGGGAAGAAAAAAUGACGGUACCUACAGAAGAAGCGACGGCUAAAUAUGUGCCAGCCGCCGCCGUAA
This 477-nucleotide ribosomal RNA is filed under the name uncultured bacterium. RNAcentral describes it as "partial 16S ribosomal RNA". It matches the Rfam family "Bacterial small subunit ribosomal RNA", at positions 28 to 523 of the family's 1533-position model. The record is from RNAcentral.